CAGUCGCCGCGGUAAUACAGAGGGUGCAAGCGUUAAUCGGAUUUACUGGGCGUAAAGCGUGUGUAGGUGGCUGUUCAAGUCGGUUGUGAAAGCCCUGGGCUCAACCUGGGAAUUGCUUCCGAGACUGAGCGGCUAGAGUACGGUAGAGGGCGGUGGAAUUUCCGGUGUAGCGGUGAAAUGCGUAGAUAUCGGAAGGAACACCAAUGGCGAAGGCAGCCGCCUGGGCCUGUACUGACACUGAGACACGAAAGCGUGGGGAUCAAACAGGAUUAGAGACCCGUGUAGUCCCUGUCUCUUAUAC
Molecule: ribosomal RNA, 301 nt
Filed under: uncultured bacterium
Lineage: Bacteria
Description: partial 16S ribosomal RNA
Rfam family: Bacterial small subunit ribosomal RNA
Source: RNAcentral